AUGCUAUACAGCACUUUCCUGUUGGCCAAUCAUUCCAUAAACCUCAGUGCAGGGUCAGUGAGGACGACAGGGUGGAUUCCCGGACGAACUCUGCCAUGGAGAGAAGCCUCUUGGGGCUUGUGUGAGCUCAUGUGCCAUGAUGCCUGUAAGUGCAUGGGCUGACAAUUAUGCCAUGUGGAUCAUUCCUACAGGGGAUAACUCUGCAGAGAUGAGAGAUGUCCACUUGCACAUUCAUACAGCUUUAUAGGUUGUAGAAAGUUUCAAGGCUGGGAUAAGUAUGUUACUACUUUAUUUUUUUUAAUUUUUAAAUUUUGUUUAUUUUAUUUAUUUAUUUAUUUAUUCACUCAUUUUGCUUUUUAGGGCCGCACCUGAAGCAUAUGGAAGUUCCCGGGCUAGAGAAAGAAUUGGAGCUACACCACAGCCACAGUAACACCAGAUCCGAGCCGCAUCUGUGACCUACACCACAGCUCACGGCAAUGCCAGAUCCUUAACCCGCUGAGCAAGGCCAGGGAUCAAACCCGCAACCUCAUGGUUCCUAGUCAGAUUCAUUUCCACUGCACCAUGAUGGGAAUACCAUUACUGCUUUCUUUAAAGACAGUCCCUCUUUCCCUUCCUUUUGCAGCACACAUCAGCUGUUUCUUGAGCAAUUUCUAUUCAAAGUAAUCAACAUGCCAUCAUGGCCUAUCUUGGGGAUAGCCUAACCUGAACCCCAGCACAUCCAUUCAUCCAACUGUAAUGUGUUGUGUGCUUUCCAUGCACCAUGAAACAUUCUAAGCACUUUCUCUAUUUACUCUCCUUUCAGCUUUAUACCAAUAGUAUGAAGCUUGGGCGCUAACACUUGUCUAAGACAAACCAGAUGAAAAGAGUCAGAGUGAUGGAGUUCCCGUCGUGGCGCAGUGGUUAACGAAUCUUACUAGGAACCAUGAGGUUGCGGGUUCGAUCCCUGGCCUCGCUCAGUGGGUUAAGGAUCUGGCGUUGCCAUGAGCUGUGGUGUAGGUUUCAGACGUUGCUCGGAUCACACAUUGCUGUGGCUGUGGCAUAGGCUGGUGACUACAGCUCCGAUUAGACCCCUCGCCUGGGAACCUCCAUAAGCCCCGGGAAGCGGCCCUUAAAAAGGCAAAAAAAAAAAAGACCAAAAAAAAAAAUUGUCAGAGUGAGAAAUAUAAUCCAGGUGUCUCCAAAGCCCAUAAUCAUCAUAUUAUAUUGUUGUCCCAGCUGGUACACAGCUAAAGCAAAAGUCUAUGAGAAUGAUAGAAAGUAAUAGUGUGGGAGAGUUAUAUAGAAGAGAAGAUGCAUUUAGAUAGGUGAUCCUGCAAGCCUUCUGGAGAAAGCACAAGUUGGUCCUCAGAGUGUCAAGACUCACUGACAGAAUGUUCAGGAAUUUUCUUUGCAAGAAAAAGAGGAAGGGGUCCAGGCUUCAGAGUUUGGCAGACUUGGGUUGAAGUCCUGUCUUCAUCUAUUACUAGCUGUGUGACAUUGGACACCUUGCUUAACCUCUGUGAACCUUCAUUUUGUCAAUAUGAGAGGCCUCAAUGACUUGCUGUAAAGCUUAAAAGAAGUAUUAAACACAUCUAGUCCAAUACCUAAUAACAUAAUAAAUAUUUAACAAAUGAUGCUUGAUUUGAGCCA
This 1629-nucleotide long non-coding RNA is filed under the name Sus scrofa (pig). RNAcentral describes it as "lncRNA (ENSSSCG00030031232.1)". Lineage: Eukaryota; Metazoa; Chordata; Mammalia; Artiodactyla; Suidae. The record is from RNAcentral.